This 492-nucleotide ribosomal RNA is filed under the name uncultured bacterium. RNAcentral describes it as "partial 16S ribosomal RNA". It matches the Rfam family "Bacterial small subunit ribosomal RNA", at positions 29 to 507 of the family's 1533-position model. The record is from RNAcentral.
AGUGAACGCUGGCGGUAGGCCUAACACAUGCAAGUCGAACGGCAGCACAGUAAGAGCUUGCUCUUACGGGUGGCGAGUGGCGGACGGGUGAGGAAUACAUCGGAAUCUACUCUUUCGUGGGGGAUAACGUAGGGAAACUUACGCUAAUACCGCAUACGACCUACGGGUGAAAGCAGGGGAUCUUCGGACCUUGCGCGAUUGAAUGAGCCGAUGUCGGAUUAGCUAGUUGGCGGGGUAAAGGCCCACUAAGGCGGCGAUCCGUAGCUGGUCUGAGAGGAUGGUCGGCCGCACGAGAAGUGAGACACGGUCCAGAGGCCUGCGGGAGGCAGCAGUGGGGUAUGUUAGACAGUGGUCGCAAACCUGAUCCAACCAGACCGCGUGGGUGGAGGAGGCCUUCGGGUUGUGAAGCCCUUUUGUUGGGAAAGAAAAGCAGCAGGUUAAUACGCCGCUGUUCUGACGGUACUCAAAGAAUAAGCACCGGCUAACUUCGUG